RNAcentral lists this ribosomal RNA (270 nucleotides) under uncultured archaeon. RNAcentral's name for it is "partial 16S ribosomal RNA". It matches the Rfam family "Archaeal small subunit ribosomal RNA", at positions 477 to 747 of the family's 1478-position model. The record is from RNAcentral.
CUGCAGCCCGAGUGGUGAUCGAUUUUAUUGAGCCUAAAGCGUCCGUAGCCGGACUAGUAAACCCUUGGGUAAAUUGGGCAGCUUAACUGUCCAAAUUCUGAGGGGACUGCUAGUCUUGGGACCGGGAGAGGUCAGAGGUACUCAAGGGGUAGGGGCUAAAUCCUGUAAUCCUUUGGGGACCACCAGUGGCGAAGGCGUCUGACUAGAACGGAUCCGACGGUAAGGGACGAAACCCUGGGGCGCGAACCGGAUUAGAUACCCGAGUAGUCC